Molecule: ribosomal RNA, 851 nt
Filed under: uncultured bacterium
Lineage: Bacteria
Description: bacterial SSU rRNA
Rfam family: Bacterial small subunit ribosomal RNA
Source: RNAcentral
CAAGUCGAACGGAAUCCAUGGUGUAGCAAUACACCGGAAGAUUUAGUGGCGAACGGGUGAGGAUCACGUGAGAAACGUGCCCCAGACUCUGGGAUAACAAUUGGAAACGAUUGCUAAUACCGGAUGACGUCGGAGAACCGCAUGGUUCACUGACGAAAGAUAUUUCGGUUUGGGAGCGUCUCGCGGCCUAUCAGCUUGUUGGUGGGGUAAUGGCCUACCAAGGCAACGACGGGUAGCUGGUCUGAGAGGAUGAUCAGCCACACUGGGACUGAGACACGGCCCAGACUCCUACGGGAGGCAGCAGUGGGGAAUCUUGCGCAAUGGGCGAAAGCCUGACGCAGCAACGCCGCGUGCGGGAUGAAGGCCUUCGGGCUGUAAACCGCUUUCAGCAGGAACGAAAAUGACGGUACCUGCAGAAGAAGGAGCGGCCAACUACGUGCCAGCAGCCGCGGUGACACGUAGGCUCCAAGCGUUGUCCGGAUUUAUUGGGCGUAAAGAGCUCGUAGGCGGCUGAGUAAGUCGGGUGUGAAAACUCUGGGCUUAACCCGGAGACGCCAUCCGAUACUGCUCUGACUAGAGUUCAGGAGGGGAGUGGGGAAUUCCUAGUGUAGCGGUGAAAUGCGCAGAUAUUAGGAGGAACACCGGUGGCGAAGGCGCCACUCUGGACUGAAACUGACGCUGAGGAGCGAAAGCAUGGGUAGCAAACAGGAUUAGAUACCCUGGUAGUCCAUGCCGUAAACGGUGGGCACUAGGUGUGGGUUCCAACUAACGGGAUCCGCGCCGUCGCUAACGCAUUAAGUGCCCCGCCUGGGGAGUACGGUCGCAAGACUAAAACUCAAAGGAAUUGACAG